UACGGAAGGCAGCAGUGGGGAAUAUUGCACAAUGGGCGAAAGCCUGAUGCAGCUAUGCCGCGUGUAUGAAGAAGGCCUUAGGGUUGUAAAGUACUUUCAUCGGGGAGGAAAAAAACAAAACUAAUAAUUUUAUUUCUUGACGUUACCCGAAAAAGAAGCACCGGCUAACUCCGUGCCAGCAGCCGCGGUAAUACGGAGGGUGCUAGCGUUAUUCGGAAUUAUUGGGCGUAAAGAGCGCGUAGGCUGAUUAGUAAGUUAAAAGUGAAAUCCCAAAGCUUAACUUUGGAAUUGCUUUUUAAAACUGCUAGUCUAGAGAUUGAAAGAGGAUAGAGGAAUUCCUAGUGUAGAGGUGAAAUUCGUAAAUAUUAGGAGGAACACCAGUGGCGAAGGCGUCUAUCUGGUUCAAAUCUGACGCUGAGGGCGCGAAGGCGUGGGGAGCGAAACAGGGAUUAGAUACC
RNAcentral lists this ribosomal RNA (458 nucleotides) under uncultured bacterium. RNAcentral's name for it is "bacterial SSU rRNA". It matches the Rfam family "Bacterial small subunit ribosomal RNA", at positions 340 to 786 of the family's 1533-position model. The record is from RNAcentral.